UACAGAGGUCUCAAGCGUUGUUCGGAUUCAUUGGGCGUAAAGGGUGCGUAGGCGGCGCGGUAAGUCGGGUGUGAAAUCUUGGAGCUUAACUCCGAAACUGCAUUCGAUACUGCCGUGCUUGAGGACUGGAGAGGAGACUGGAAUUUACGGUGUAGCGGUGAAAUGCGUAGAUAUCGUAAGGAAGACCAGUGGCGAAGGCGGGUCUCUGGACAGUUCCUGACACUGAGGCACGAAGGCCAGGGGAGCAAACGGG
RNAcentral lists this ribosomal RNA (253 nucleotides) under uncultured bacterium. Its description in RNAcentral is "partial 16S ribosomal RNA". It matches the Rfam family "Bacterial small subunit ribosomal RNA", at positions 524 to 776 of the family's 1533-position model. The record is from RNAcentral.